This 460-nucleotide ribosomal RNA is filed under the name uncultured bacterium. Its description in RNAcentral is "partial 16S ribosomal RNA". It matches the Rfam family "Bacterial small subunit ribosomal RNA", at positions 338 to 795 of the family's 1533-position model. The record is from RNAcentral.
CCUACGGGAGGCAGCAGUGAGGAAUAUUGGUCAAUGGACGAGAGUCUGAACCAGCCAAGUAGCGUGAAGGAUGACUGCCCUAUGGGUUGUAAACUUCUUUUAUAUGGGAAUAAAAUGUACCACGUGUGGGACCUUGUAUGUACCAUAUGAAUUAGGAACGGCUAACUCCGCGCCAGCAGCCGCGGUAAUACGGUGGAUCCGUGCGUUAUCCGGAUUUAUUGGGUUUAAAGGGAGCGUAGGUGGAUUGUUAAGUCAGUUGUGAAAGUUUGCGGCUCAACCGUAAAAUUGCAGUUGAAACUGGCAGUCUUGAGUGCAGUAGAGGUGAGCGGAAUUCGUGGUGUAGCGGUGGAAUGCUUAGAUAUCACGAAGAACUCCGAUUGCGAAGGCAGCUCACUGGACUGCAACUGACGCUGAGGCUCGAAAGUAUGGGUAGCGAACAGGAUUAGAUACCCGGGUAGUC